UUCUUUGGUUUUUAUACAAAAACCAUGAUCUACAAAGAUUCAACUGUCCAAACUCAAAUCUGAUUUUGGAAACGUGAACUACGAAACCCGAUCUACAUUUCUACCGAUUGGUUUGAGGAUUUGUUAUGAGGAGCUUGCUAAACACUCUCCAAGUGUUGGAUUUACAUUUGGUGAAAUUUUUGUGAUACAUUGCAAUGUGGUGUUUAGGAGACCUAGUGAUUAAAUCCGCGUAGCCAAGGUG
Long non-coding RNA from Alnus glutinosa, 241 nucleotides. RefSeq lists it as uncharacterized. The transcript is spliced from 3 exons. NCBI's taxonomy places the organism in Eukaryota, Viridiplantae, Streptophyta, Magnoliopsida, Fagales, Betulaceae. The record is from RefSeq and is a predicted model, not a curated record.